UGGGGAAAUUUCCGCAAUGGGCGAAAGCCUGACGGAGCAACGCCGCGUGAGGGACGAAGGCCUCUGGGCUGUAAACCUCUNUUUCUCAAGGAAGANAGAUAUGACGGUACUUGAGGAAUAAGCCACGGCUAAUUCCGUGCCAGCAGCCGCGGUAAUACGGGAGUGGCAAGCGUUAUCCGGAAUUAUUGGGCGUAAAGCGUCCGCAGGCGGCUUUUCAAGUCUGCCGUUAAAACGUGGAGCUUAACUCCAUCAUGGCAGUGGAAACUGAAAGGCUUGAGUAUGGUAGGGGCAGAGNGGAAUUCCCGGUGUAGCGGUGAAAUGCGUAGAUAUCGGGAAGAACACCAGUGGCGAAGGCGNCUCUGCUGGGCCAU
Molecule: ribosomal RNA, 371 nt
Filed under: uncultured bacterium
Lineage: Bacteria
Description: bacterial SSU rRNA
Rfam family: Bacterial small subunit ribosomal RNA
Source: RNAcentral